This 1108-nucleotide long non-coding RNA is filed under the name Anser brachyrhynchus (Pink-footed goose). RNAcentral describes it as "lncRNA (ENSABRG00000015733.1)". Lineage: Eukaryota; Metazoa; Chordata; Aves; Anseriformes; Anatidae. The record is from RNAcentral.
AUGAAUGAAUUUGAGCUUGGUGUCCAGCUACACACAGGAUUAGAUAUUAGUGCAAUAUCUGAUCUGUACACGCUGCUGGAUUUAGUGCUUAGCGCAGCAGAACCUCAGGCUGCAAGCACAAUUUCUCAUAGGAAAUAUCUGUGGGUUACAAUGCAUCAUUGUUUGGCCUUGAUCGGGAACCAAGAUAAUCCUACCACCAGACAGAGCUCAAGUCUGCUGAGAGAUCCCCGAGAGGAAGCGCACAGGGUCCACAGGACCAGGUGCUCAUUGCUCGCUGUGUUAUUCAUCCGAGGACCAGGGCAUAGGACAGAAGAGAUCCAACUACACCCUGUACCAGCUGCAACCCCUGGACAGCCAUCCCACUCAGCUGCUGAGAGGGAGUGCUGAGAGUGUGGAGGCUACGUGGAGGCAAAUAACCACAUCCCCAGUCUGCUGUCAUCCUCAGACAGCAGAAUUUCCGAUGUGCCCUCUGCUUAACAAAGAGAAGUGAUGAAAACAAAGAGGAUGUAAGUAACUUCGUCAUUAACAGGUGUCUUCACAAUAAUUUCUCAGAGUUGUCCUGGGCCUACAGGCAAAAUUUCCAUCGGCUUUUUGGCAAAAUUCUGUCAUGCCACCACUUAAAAAACUUAAAAUGAAUCAGCUGAAGGCAUGAAGACAACAUGAACAAUUCAAGACAUCUUAAAGCCUACAUAAAGGCUCUCAUUCAGGAGCAAAGUGCCUGCAGAGCUCUGAUAGCACUCCCCUUCUGAAUGUCUCCUUUGCUGAAAAAUGUCUAAGAUACCUCAGUCAUAGAAGUUUACUGUCUCUUUUGCCAUGUAGCAGAGCAGUAUUCACACAUUUGUGAGGGACAUCCUCAUCAUUUACACCUAGCUGUCAUAACACAGGCCUGUUUUUAUUACUGGCUUAUGAUAAAGCACUGUGCUGUGAACUGGAAGAUAGGAGGUGUGGUACCUGGUGUGUUCACCACAGCAAGGUGGCUGGGUUGGUGCAUUAAACUGCCGAGCCGAGGGCAGUUUAAACUACCCUUUAGCUGAACUUUAGCUAAACUACCUUUAGCUGAGGGAAUUUGGCAGAGUUUUUGGUUCAUUAUAAGCAGAUCCUAAGCAUC